UGGGGAAUAUUGGACAAUGGGCGCAAGCCUGAUCCAGCCAUGCCGCGUGAGUGAUGAAGGUCUUAGGAUUGUAAAGCUCUUUCACCGGUGAAGAUAAUGACGGUAACCGGAGAAGAAGCCCCGGCUAACUUCGUGCCAGCAGCCGCGGUAAUACGAAGGGGGCUAGCGUUGUUCGGAAUUACUGGGCGUAAAGCGCACGUAGGCGGAUAUUUAAGUCAGGGGUGAAAUCCCAGAGCUCAACUCUGGAACUGCCUUUGAUACUGGGUAUCUUGAGUAUGGAAGAGGUGAGUGGAAUUCCGAGUGUAGAGGUGAAAUUCGUAGAUAUUCGGAGGAACACCAGUGGCGAAGGCGGCUCACUGGUCCAUUACUGACGCUGAGGUGCGAAAGCGUGGGGAGCAAAACAGGAUUAGAUACCCUGGUAGUCCACGCCGUAAACGAUGAAUGUUAGCCGUCGGGCAGUAUACUGUUCGGUGGCGCAGCUAACGCAUUAAACAUUCCGCCUGGGGAGUACGGUCGCAAGAUUAAAAACUUAAAUGAAUUGACGGGGUCAUGCUGUUUCCU
RNAcentral lists this ribosomal RNA (561 nucleotides) under uncultured bacterium. Its description in RNAcentral is "partial 16S ribosomal RNA". It matches the Rfam family "Bacterial small subunit ribosomal RNA", at positions 355 to 932 of the family's 1533-position model. The record is from RNAcentral.